This 187-nucleotide non-coding RNA is filed under the name Gammaproteobacteria bacterium. RNAcentral describes it as "6S RNA". It matches the Rfam family "6S / SsrS RNA". Rfam says of the family: E. coli 6S RNA was the first non coding RNA to be sequenced, but its function was unknown until recently. It consists of 184 nucleotides that fold into an extended hairpin structure with a large single-stranded internal bulge. The 6S RNA specifically associates with RNA polymerase holoenzyme containing the sigma70 specificity factor. The record is from RNAcentral. Lineage: Bacteria; Pseudomonadati; Pseudomonadota; Gammaproteobacteria.
UGUUCUCUGCGGUGCUCGCCAGCAAGCCCGAAAUCCCUUGAGCCUAUAAAUUACCUCACAGGAGCCGAUCUGGCGGCGAUGUUGUGCACGUCCGCGGCAACGCGGGAAGCCUGAUUCGCACCGAGAGGUUCCGCUCUUGAGCCUCUGGUUCAAGAUUACGGCAAGCAGCGGCAUCAGCGGAGGACAC